UCGAGCGGAAAGGCCCUUUCGGGGGUACUCGAGCGGCGAACGGGUGAGUAACACGUGAGUAAUCUGCCCUGCGCUCUGGGAUAGCCACCGGAAACGGUGAUUAAUACCGGAUAGGACCACUUCACGCAUGUGAUGGUGGUGGAAAGUUUUUUCGGCGCAGGAUGUGCUCGCGGCCUAUCAGCUUGUUGGUGAGGUAACGGCUCACCAAGGCUUUGACGGGUAACCGGCCUGAGAGGGUGACCGGUCACACUGGGACUGAGACACGGCCCAGACUCCUACGGGAGGCAGCAGUGGGGAAUAUUGGACAAUGGGCGGAAGCCUGAUCCAGCAACGCCGCGUGAGGGAUGACGGCCUUCGGGUUGUAAACCUCUUUCAGUACCGACGAAGCGAAAGUGACGGUAGGUACAGAAGAAGGACCGGCCAACUACGUGCCAGCAGCCGCGGUAAUACGUAGGGUCCGAGCGUUGUCCGGAAUUAUUGGGCGUAAAGGGCUCGUAGGCGGUUUGUCGCGUCGGGAGUGAAAACACCGGGCUUAACUCGGUGCUUGCUUUCGAUACGGGCAGACUAGAGGUAUGCAGGGGAGAAUGGAAUUCCUGGUGUAGCGGUGAAAUGCGCAGAUAUCAGGAGGAACACCGGUGGCGAAGGCGGUUCUCUGGGCAUUACCUGACGCUGAGGAGCGAAA
Molecule: ribosomal RNA, 682 nt
Filed under: uncultured Actinomycetes bacterium
Lineage: Bacteria; Bacillati; Actinomycetota; Actinomycetes
Description: bacterial SSU rRNA
Rfam family: Bacterial small subunit ribosomal RNA
Source: RNAcentral